RNAcentral lists this ribosomal RNA (253 nucleotides) under uncultured bacterium. RNAcentral's name for it is "partial 16S ribosomal RNA". It matches the Rfam family "Bacterial small subunit ribosomal RNA", at positions 524 to 776 of the family's 1533-position model. The record is from RNAcentral.
UAUGAACCGGCCAAACGAUGUUCGGAAUCAUUGGGCUUAAAGAGUGCGUAGGUGGCGCCGUAAGUCGGGUGUGAAAUCCCUCGGCUCAACCGAGGAACUGCGCCCGAUACUGCGGCGCUCGAGGGAGACAGGGGUGAGCGGAACUGAUGGUGGAGCGGUGAAAUGCGUUGAUAUCAUCAGGAACACCGGUGGCGAAAGCGGCUCACUGGGUCUCUUUUGACGCUGAGGCACGAAAGCUAGGGUAGCGAACGGG